UGGGGAAUAUUGCACAAUGGGCGCAAGCCUGAUGCAGCCAUGCCGCGUGUAUGAAGAAGGCCUUCGGGUUGUAAAGUACUUUCAGCGGGGAGGAAGGGAGUAAAGUUAAUACCUUUGCUCAUUGACGUUACCCGCAGAAGAAGCACCGGCUAACUCCGUGCCAGCAGCCGCGGUAAUACGGAGGGUGCAAGCGUUAAUCGGAAUUACUGGGCGUAAAGCGCACGCAGGCGGUUGAUUGAGUCAGAUGUGAAAUCCCCGGGCUUAACCCGGGAAUUGCAUCUGAUACUGGUCAGCUAGAGUCUUGUAGAGGGGGGUAGAAUUCCAUGUGUAGCGGUGAAAGGCGUAGAGAUGUGGAGGAAUACCGGUGGCGAAGGCGGCCCCCUGGACAAAGACUGACGCUCAGGUGCGAAAGCGUGGGGAGCAAACAGG
This 429-nucleotide ribosomal RNA is filed under the name Chloroflexota bacterium. RNAcentral describes it as "Chloroflexi bacterium partial 16S ribosomal RNA". It matches the Rfam family "Bacterial small subunit ribosomal RNA", at positions 355 to 776 of the family's 1533-position model. The record is from RNAcentral. Lineage: Bacteria; Bacillati; Chloroflexota.